Molecule: non-coding RNA, 355 nt
Organism: Pelobates cultripes (western spadefoot toad)
Lineage: Eukaryota; Metazoa; Chordata; Amphibia; Anura; Pelobatidae
Source: the annotation of a GenBank genome assembly
UGAUUGGUUGUUUUGUAACGCCCUGUUGGCUGUACUAUGUUUGUGGAUUGGGAAUAAAAGAGACUGUAUGUGACAGUACAGGGAGUUCCUGCUUAACCCUCAAAGUGAAGUGUCGUCUCAUUAUUGGGGGAGGAUUUAUUGUAUGCUGUUCCAGUUUGACUGCUAGGAGAGUAAACCUAUUCGUAUGGUUCCUAUUCAACUGUCUACAGCAUUCAUAUGCUUGAGAGGAUUCAUAUGAUUCUCCGGUUCGGUGGUUGUGGUGUCUGCUGCAGUGCUUGGAGUCCUCAGGAAGCGCUAGGAGCAUCCUUUAACGGAGGUACCCAGUCGGGGUGCCAGGCGAUCCGUUACACCAUGU